RNAcentral lists this long non-coding RNA (588 nucleotides) under Phoenix dactylifera (date palm). RNAcentral describes it as "long non-coding RNA (PDAC_LNC020916)". The record is from RNAcentral. Lineage: Eukaryota; Viridiplantae; Streptophyta; Magnoliopsida; Arecales; Arecaceae.
AGGUACAGAUAUACCUUAUCCUUUAAUAGUGUCUUCAGAACAUUACUUUUGAGUCCUGUAUCCAAUUGUGAAAUAUCUGUUCCCUGACUGUUAGUGAGACAUGAGUCCUACAUCUUCCAGUAACAAAAAGUUUUAUCUUUAGCUAAAUGUCUUGAGACCAGCUCUUAUUUGGAUUUACACUUGGUUAUAUCAGGAUGCAAAGGAUUCUUGGUUAUUCCUGUUUCAGCCAUGAAUCGUAUUUUCAUAUCAUGUUUGCUAGCAGGUGUUUUUUUGAUUUGUUUUAAUAUGACUAAAGUUGAGAUUAUUUGCCAAGGUCUGCAACCUUAGUACCGGAUACCGUAUCGGUUUGGUACGGUAUGGUAGGGUAUGCAUUCUGUAUCGAAAUAGCUUUCUAACCAUUUUUGUCAAUUUUUUAUUUCGGUACGCCUCAUAUAGGUUGGUAUGCCUUGGUACAUGUUAGUAUGCUUCGGUAUGGGUCGAUACGUACCUCGAUAUACCUUGGUACGGAACUUGUACUGGCUCAAAGUUAAGUUUUGUACUGGUUUCCUUCUAGUACGAUACGGAAUGCUCCGCACUGGGUGGUAUGAC